RNAcentral lists this non-coding RNA (92 nucleotides) under Bacillus oleivorans. RNAcentral describes it as "c-di-GMP-I riboswitch aptamer". It matches the Rfam family "c-di-GMP-I riboswitch aptamer". Rfam says of the family: GEMM was predicted in a large-scale screen for bacterial structured RNA regulatory elements. Lineage: Bacteria; Bacillati; Bacillota; Bacilli; Caryophanales; Bacillaceae. The record is from Rfam by way of RNAcentral.
AACGUAAUAGGGCAAACUUACUGAAAGGUAAGGACGCAAAGCCACGGGCCUACUGUCAUCUUCCCAAUGACUAUGGCAGCCGGGUUGCCGAA